Molecule: transfer RNA, 72 nt
Filed under: Ovis aries (sheep)
Lineage: Eukaryota; Metazoa; Chordata; Mammalia; Artiodactyla; Bovidae
Rfam family: tRNA
About the family: Transfer RNA (tRNA) molecules are approximately 80 nucleotides in length.
Source: Rfam by way of RNAcentral
UCCCUGGUGGUCCAGUGGUUAGGAAUCCUCCUUCCAAUGCAGGAGACACAGGUUCAAUCCCUGGUCAGGGGA